RNAcentral lists this small nucleolar RNA (93 nucleotides) under Ananas comosus (pineapple). RNAcentral describes it as "Small nucleolar RNA Z266". It matches the Rfam family "Small nucleolar RNA Z266". Rfam says of the family: Z266 is a member of the C/D class of snoRNA which contain the C (UGAUGA) and D (CUGA) box motifs. Lineage: Eukaryota; Viridiplantae; Streptophyta; Magnoliopsida; Poales; Bromeliaceae. The record is from Rfam by way of RNAcentral.
AGGAGGCAAGUAUGAUGAAUAGUAAUAUGUGGGAAGAGAAAUAUCUCUUAUGAUUAACAUCUUGAUGCUUAUUGAUAUUCUGACUUGCCAUUU